GAGGCGGUAUCGUUUUGCGAACUGUACUCUUGAUCUGAUGAACUUAUAAUGGUUUUAUUAAUGGAAUCACCUUCAUAACUGCGUUAGACGGUUACGUUGGAUUCUGCUCUGAGCCGUAAGGACCGAGACAGAAGG
Molecule: regulatory RNA element, 135 nt
Organism: Paenibacillus sp. FSL H7-0737
Lineage: Bacteria; Bacillati; Bacillota; Bacilli; Caryophanales; Paenibacillaceae
Rfam family: pan motif
Source: Rfam